UCUCCGUUGGUGAACCAGCGGAGGGAUCAUUACCGAGUUUACAACUCCCAAACCCAAUGUGAACGUUACCAAACUGUUGCCUCGGCGGGAUCUCUGCCCCGGGUGCGUCGCAGCCCCGGACCAAGGCGCCCGCCGGAGGACCAACCAAAACUCUUAUUGUAUACCCCCUCGCGGGUUUUUUUUAUAAUCUGAGCCUUCUCGGCGCCUCUCGUAGGCGUUUCGAAAAUGAAUCAAAACUUUCAACAACGGAUCUCUUGGUUCUGGCAUCGAUGAAGAACGCAGCGAAAUGCGAUAAGUAAUGUGAAUUGCAGAAUUCAGUGAAUCAUCGAAUCUUUGAACGCACAUUGCGCCCGCCAGUAUUCUGGCGGGCAUGCCUGUCCGAGCGUCAUUUCAACCCUCGAACCCCUCCGGGGGGUCGGCGUUGGGGAUCGGCCCUGCCUUGGCGGUGGCCGUCUCCGAAAUACAGUGGCGGUCUCGCCGCAGCCUCUCCUGCGCAGUAGUUUGCACACUCGCAUCGGGAGCGCGGCGCGUCCACAGCCGUUAAACACCCAACUUCUGAAAUGUUGACCUCGGAUCAGGUAGGAAUACCCGCUGAACUUAAGCAUAUCAAUA
RNAcentral lists this ribosomal RNA (612 nucleotides) under Trichoderma harzianum. RNAcentral's name for it is "eukaryotic LSU rRNA". The stretch from base 235 to 388 matches the Rfam family "5.8S ribosomal RNA". Lineage: Eukaryota; Fungi; Ascomycota; Sordariomycetes; Hypocreales; Hypocreaceae. The record is from RNAcentral.